UACGAAGGUCCCAAGCGUUAUCCGGAUUUAUUGGGUUUAAAGGGUGCGUAGGCGGAUUAUUAAGUCAGUGGUGAAAGCCCCAGGCCUAACCUGGGAAUUGCCAUUGAUACUGAUGAUCUUGAGUACAUUUGAGGAGGGCGGAAUGUGUCAUGUAGCGGUGAAAUGCUUAGAUAUGACACAGAACACCGAUUGCGUAGGCAGCUCUCUAAACUGUAACUGACGCUGAGGCGCGAAAGCUAGGGGAGCAAACGGG
This 253-nucleotide ribosomal RNA is filed under the name uncultured bacterium. RNAcentral describes it as "partial 16S ribosomal RNA". It matches the Rfam family "Bacterial small subunit ribosomal RNA", at positions 524 to 776 of the family's 1533-position model. The record is from RNAcentral.